GGUUGUGGCUCAGUGGCAGAGUGCUUGCCUUGCACAUGUGAGGCUCUGGGUUUAAUCCUCAGCACCA
Molecule: transfer RNA, 67 nt
Filed under: Marmota monax (woodchuck)
Lineage: Eukaryota; Metazoa; Chordata; Mammalia; Rodentia; Sciuridae
Description: tRNA.Ala
Source: RNAcentral